Long non-coding RNA from Oncorhynchus keta (chum salmon), 1041 nucleotides. RefSeq lists it as uncharacterized. NCBI's taxonomy places the organism in Eukaryota, Metazoa, Chordata, Actinopteri, Salmoniformes, Salmonidae. The record is from RefSeq and is a predicted model, not a curated record. The transcript is spliced from 3 exons.
UGCCCUACAGUGUUAAAGAAGGUGUGCUGAAGGAGGUUCUAGGAAUCCUGGUGUCAUACAGAGUCACGGUUAAGCUCAUCAUUGGCGGAAUAUUGGGAUCUAGUGAGGUGGGAGUAGAGCUGCCACUCACACUGAUGCACCCAAAACCUGACCUAGGUACAAAUAUUUUUAUUUCAACAUGAGUUACAUUUUUCUGAAGUUUUUCAAGGCUUCACUCCAUAGUCCAAAAGUAGCUAACCCAUGAAAUCUAAUCACUUGUGUUGUUAUUUUUUGCCUUCUGAAGUGAGGGAAAGGUAACAUAGUAUGAUCUUUCCUCCAUGUUUUGCUUAGAGGUCAUGUGUGUUUACAUGAUAGAUCAACAAUUCAUCCGUGGAGGGUGUCAUAUUCUGAAUAUGCACCUGGACACAUUUUUAUCUCUCUGUCUUUCUCUUGUUUCUCUCUGACCAUGCCUCUCUGUCUUCCUCCUCUUAUCUCUCUGUCUUUCUCUUGUUUCUCUCUGACCAUGUGUCUUCAUCCUCUUAUCUCUCUGACCAUGUGUCUUCAUCCUCUUAUCUCUCUGUCUUUCUCUUGUUUCUCUCUGACCAUGUGUCUUCCUCCUCUUAUCUCUCUGUCUUUCUCUUGUUUCUCUCUGACCAUGUGUCUUCAUCCUCUUAUCUCUCUGUCUUUCUCUUGUUUCUCUCUGACCAUGUGUCUUCAUCCUCUUAUCUCUCUGUCUUUCUCUUGUUUCUCUCUGACCAUGUGUCUUCAUCCUCUUAUCUCUCUGUCUUCAUCCUCUUAUCUCUCUGUCUUUCUCUUGUUUCUCUCUGACCAUGUGUCUUCAUCCUCUUAUCUCUCUGUCUUCAUCCUCUUAUCUCUCUGUCUUUCUCUUGUUUCUCUCUGACCAUGUGUCUUCAUCCUCUUAUCUCUCUGUCUUCAUCCUCUUAUCUCUCUGUCUUUCUCUUGUUUCUCUCUGACCAUGUGUCUUCAUCCUCUUAUCUCUCUGUCUUUCUCUUGUUUCUCUCUGACCAUGUGUCUUCAUCCUCUUAUCUCUCUGUCUUCAUC